GACGAACGCUGGCGGCGUGCUUAACACAUGCAAGUCGAACGGAAAGGCCCUGCUUUUGUGGGGUGCUCGAGUGGCGAACGGGUGAGUAACACGUGAGUAACCUGCCCUUGACUUUGGGAUAACUUCAGGAAACUGGGGCUAAUACCGGAUAGGAGCUCCUGCUGCAUGGUGGUGGUUGGAAAGUUUCGGCGGUUGGGGAUGGACUCGCGGCUUAUCAGCUUGUUGGUGGGGUAGUGGCUUACCAGGGCUUUGACGGGUAGCCGGCCUGAGAGGGGGACCGGCCACAUUGGGACUGAGAUACGGCCCAGACUCCUACGGGAGGCAGCAGUGGGGAACAUUGCACAAUGGGCGGAAGCCUGAUGCAGCAACGCCGCGUGCGGGAUGACGGCCUUCGGGUUGUAAACCGCUUUCGCCUGUGACGAAGCGUGAGUGACGGUAAUGGGUAAAGAAGCACCGGCUAACUACGUG
This 468-nucleotide ribosomal RNA is filed under the name uncultured bacterium. RNAcentral's name for it is "partial 16S ribosomal RNA". It matches the Rfam family "Bacterial small subunit ribosomal RNA", at positions 28 to 507 of the family's 1533-position model. The record is from RNAcentral.